ACGAUGUUCCGCUGUCCCAUAGAGUGAUAUGAGCAUUAG
This is a regulatory RNA element of Lentibacillus amyloliquefaciens, 39 nucleotides long. It matches the Rfam family "Ribosomal protein L19 leader". Rfam says of the family: This family is a putative r-protein leader autoregulatory structure found in B. subtilis and other low-GC Gram-positive bacteria. It is located in the 5' untranslated regions of mRNAs encoding ribosomal protein L19 (rplS). The record is from Rfam. NCBI's taxonomy places the organism in Bacteria, Bacillati, Bacillota, Bacilli, Caryophanales, Bacillaceae.